UUUUUUUUUUUUUUUUCUUAAUAAUUAUUUGUAUAUUUGAGUACAAGGUACUUAUAGUAUGUUAAAACUGUGAAGAUCAGCUCUGGGUUGGGAAAAGUUCUUUUUCCCCUUUUAAAUAACACAAUUUCCAGUUUAAGGCCGUUAGAUGGAAUUUUGAUGAGAAUUUUGUUGGUAUCCGAAGAAUAUUAAUGGGAAUUGAGUGUAGAGAGAGAAAAGGAGGGUGGGGGGAGGGGGGUGUUAUGAUAAGGCUGCCUUAAGUCUUCAUUCCUUGUAUCAGUUGAAUGGGCGUGGCUUAUUAAAUAAAGUGUGACACCUAGAAACAGAAGAGUUGUUUGGAAAAACUUAUCAUCUUGGCAUCUUUAUGUUUCUUGUCCAACUACUUGUUACAGUUUGUUCCUGCCUUUCGUAUGGUUGUGCAAUUGGCUGGAUCUUUAUUGCAUCUUUGUG
RNAcentral lists this unclassified non-coding RNA (447 nucleotides) under Hevea brasiliensis (rubber tree). Lineage: Eukaryota; Viridiplantae; Streptophyta; Magnoliopsida; Malpighiales; Euphorbiaceae. The record is from RNAcentral.